CCAUCUCCCCUUCUUCCUCUCUUUUCAAUGUCCAAGUGUUGGGCGUCCCAUCUUCUCACAUGCCCAAAGGUGAGGGUGACUGCUUCUACAUCAAGAACGAGGAGAAAGGCUGCUGUUUAAGUGUUGAGUUAAGAUCAAAGGUUGAUCAAAGGUUCAAAAGGCUGAGAUCUUACCUAGAGAAGAAGGAUCUACAAUGAGAAAAAGGGUUCAAGAUUAAUUUUGAUGGAUACCUGUAGAGGCCUGACAUGGUGCGGCUCAAGAAC
This 263-nucleotide long non-coding RNA is filed under the name Elaeis guineensis (African oil palm). Its description in RNAcentral is "long non-coding RNA (EGUI_LNC033889)". Lineage: Eukaryota; Viridiplantae; Streptophyta; Magnoliopsida; Arecales; Arecaceae. The record is from RNAcentral.